RNAcentral lists this unclassified non-coding RNA (405 nucleotides) under soil metagenome. Its description in RNAcentral is "partial contains 5.8S ribosomal RNA, internal transcribed spacer 2, and large subunit ribosomal RNA". The stretch from base 1 to 121 matches the Rfam family "5.8S ribosomal RNA", at positions 35 to 154 of the family's 154-position model. The record is from RNAcentral.
GAUGAAGAACGUAGCGAAAUGCGAUAAGUAAUGUGAAUUGCAGAAUUCAGUGAAUCAUCGAAUCUUUGAACGCACCUUGCGCCCUUUGGCUAUUCCGAAGGGCAUGCCUGUUUGAGUAUCAUGAACAUCUCAACUCCUCACGGUUCGUCCGUGACGAGCUUGGACUUUGGGGGUCUUGCCGGCCUGCGGGUCGGCUCCUCUCAAAUGAAUCAGCUUGCCGGUGUUUGGUGGCGUCACAGGUGUGAUAAAUAUCUACGCUUGUGGUUUUCCGCCAGGUAACCUCCAGCGAUGGGGGUUCACUGGAGCUCACGAAUGUCUCUCCUCGGUGAGGACAGCUCUUUGAACGUUUGAUCUCAAAUCAGGUAGGGCUACCCGCUGAACUUAAGCAUAUCAAUAAGCGGAGGA